GAUGAACGCCGGCGGCGUGCCUAAUACAUGCAAGUCGAGCGAACGGACGAGAAGCUUGCUUCUCUGAUGUUAGCGGCGGACGGGUGAGUAACACGUGGAUAACCUACCUAUAAGACUGGGAUAACUUCGGGAAACCGUAGCUAAUACCGGAUAAUAUUUUGAACCGCAUGGUUCAAAAGUGAAAGACGGUCUUGCUGUCACUUAUAGAUGGAUCCGCGCUGCAUUAGCUAGUUGGUAAGGUAACGGCUUACCAAGGCAACGAUGCAUAGCCGACCUGAGAGGGUGAUCGGCCACACUGGAACUGAGACACGGUCCAGACUCCUACGGGAGGCAGCAGUAGGGAAUCUUCCGCAAUGGGCGAAAGCCUGACGGAGCAACGCCGCGUGAGCGAUGAAGGUCUUCGGAUCGUAAAACUCUGUUAUUAGGGAAGAACAUAUGUGUAAGUAACUGUGCACAUCUUGACGGUACCUAAUCAGAAAGCCACGGCUAACUACGUG
RNAcentral lists this ribosomal RNA (497 nucleotides) under uncultured bacterium. RNAcentral describes it as "partial 16S ribosomal RNA". It matches the Rfam family "Bacterial small subunit ribosomal RNA", at positions 28 to 507 of the family's 1533-position model. The record is from RNAcentral.